RNAcentral lists this ribosomal RNA (917 nucleotides) under uncultured Chloroflexota bacterium. RNAcentral's name for it is "bacterial SSU rRNA". It matches the Rfam family "Bacterial small subunit ribosomal RNA", at positions 389 to 1335 of the family's 1533-position model. The record is from RNAcentral. Lineage: Bacteria; Bacillati; Chloroflexota.
CAGCGACGCCGCGUGGGUGAUGAAGGUUUUCGGAUCGUAAAGCCCUUUUCUCAGUGACGAGGAAGGACGGUAACUGAGGAAUAAGUGUCGGCUAACUACGUGCCAGCAGCCGCGGUAAAACGUAGGACGCAAGCGUUAUCCGGAAUUACUGGGCGUAAAGCGCGCGCAGGCGGGUCGGUAAGUCAGCCGUGAAAGCUCCCGGCUAAACUGGGAGAGGUCGGUUGAAACUGCGGAUCUGGAGUACGGCAGAGGCAUAUGGAAUUCCGCGUGUAGUGGUGAAAUGCGUAGAUAUGCGGAGGAACACCAGUGGCGAAGGCGAUAUGCUGGGCCUGUACUGACGCUGAGGCGCGAAAGCAUGGGUAGCGAACGGGAUUAGAAACCCCGGUAGUCCAUGCCGUAAACGAUGUGUACUAGAUGUUCGUGCGCCUGCGGGUGUAUGAGUGUCGAAGCCAACGCGCUAAGUACACCGCCUGGGGAGUACGGUCGCAAGGCUAAAACUCAAAGGAAUUGACGGGGGCCCGCACAAGCAGCGGAGCGUGUGGUUUAAUUCGAGGCUACGCGAAGAACCUUACCUAGGUUUGACAUCCCACGAAUGAAUGCGAAAGCAGGAAGCCCCUUCGGGGCGUGGAGACAGGUGCUGCAUGGCUGUCGUCAGCUCGUGUCGUGAGAUGUUCGGUUAAGUCCGAAAACGAGCGCAACCCCUGGGUCUAGUUACAAGUGUCUAGACCGACUGCCUACGGCAAGUAGGAGGAAGGUGGGGAUGACGUCAAGUCAGCAUGGCCUUUAUGCCUAGGGCUACACACAUGCUACAAUGGUAUGUACAAAGGGAAGCGAUCCCGCGAGGAGGAGCUAAUCCCAAAAAGCAUAUCAAAGUUCGGAUCGGAGUCUGCAACUCGACUCCGUGAAGUUGGAAUCGC